This 285-nucleotide ribosomal RNA is filed under the name uncultured bacterium. RNAcentral's name for it is "partial 16S ribosomal RNA". It matches the Rfam family "Bacterial small subunit ribosomal RNA", at positions 333 to 637 of the family's 1533-position model. The record is from RNAcentral.
GCACCUACGGGACGCAGCAGUGGGGAAUAUUGGACAAUGGGGGAAACCCUGAUCCAGCGACGCCGCGUGAGUGAAGAAGUAUUUCGGUACGUAAAGCUCUAUCAGCAGGAAAGAAAAUGACGGUACCUGACUAAGAAGCCCCGGCUAACUACGUGCCAGCAGCAGCGGUAAUACGUAGGGGGCAAGCGUUAUCCGGAUUUACUGGGUGUAAAGGGAGCGUAGACGGCAGCGCAAGUCUGGAGUGAAAUGCGGGGGCGCAACCCGGGACCUGGUCUGGAAACUGUG